RNAcentral lists this long non-coding RNA (216 nucleotides) under Mytilus galloprovincialis (Mediterranean mussel). The record is from RNAcentral. Lineage: Eukaryota; Metazoa; Mollusca; Bivalvia; Mytilida; Mytilidae.
CUUUUCACUUUUUUUGUCUUUUGGAAAAUGUUGUACGUGCUGUAUUUAGACACCUCUAUUAAACGUAUUAAAAUUGCGGUUUUUAUCCAGCGCAAUCAUAGGUUUGAACGUUGUUUUCAAUUUAGACUAUUUAUAUGUUUUCGUUUGGGCUUGUAUUAUAUUUUCCUUCGGGUGAUUAUGAUCCAAUCCACCUAUUUCGACUCUUUAAAAUUUAAG